UACGUAGGGGGCGAGCGUUGUCCGGAUUUAUUGGGCGUAAAGAGCUCGUAGGUGGUUUGGUAAGUCGGAUGUGAAAUCUCCAGGCUCAACCUGGAGGGGUCAUUCGAUACUGCCAUGACUAGAGUUCGGUAGGGGAGUGUGGAAUUCCUGGUGGAGCGGUGAAAUGCGCAGAUAUCAGGAGGAACACCCGUAGCGAAGGCGGCACUCUGGGACGGUACUGACGCUGAGACGCGAAAGCGUGGGGAGCGAACAGG
Molecule: ribosomal RNA, 254 nt
Filed under: uncultured bacterium
Lineage: Bacteria
Description: partial 16S ribosomal RNA
Rfam family: Bacterial small subunit ribosomal RNA
Source: RNAcentral